This 222-nucleotide unclassified non-coding RNA is filed under the name Glomeraceae sp. RNAcentral describes it as "partial contains 5.8S ribosomal RNA and internal transcribed spacer 2". The stretch from base 1 to 71 matches the Rfam family "5.8S ribosomal RNA", at positions 84 to 154 of the family's 154-position model. Lineage: Eukaryota; Fungi; Glomeromycota; Glomeromycetes; Glomerales; Glomeraceae. The record is from RNAcentral.
GUGAAUCAUCAAAUUUUUGAACGCAAAUUGCACUCCCUGGUAUUCCGGGGAGUAUGCCUGUUUGAGGGUCGUUAGAACAAAAAUCGAAGCGUCGCUCUUUUUUUUUUUAAGGGUGAUCGCGUGGGAAUUGGGCCGUCUUUCCAAUGUUGUUUCUUGGUAAGGUGGCCCGAAAUUCAUCCAUCCGGUUCGCUUAAAGCUUUAUUAAGGUGAACUUUGUUUACA